AAUUAUAAGCAAUUUAUAGGAUUCAAACUCAGGUGUAAAGAUGAAUGAAUAUAAUGGAGGAUUGCUUGGAAUUUCAGAAUGAAAAUGUUCUCAAUAUAAUAAAUUAUCAAAGAGCAUGGGAAAGUCAAUACAUGUGAUAUGGUUCAAAAGGCCAAUUUUUGUUUUCUCAUCCAUGUGUAUGCAUGUAUAUGUCUGUGUUAUUAGUUAUUAAAUAUGUUAGCAAGUGAUGCAGUUAAAUUCCAUCUAGUAUGUAUUAUGUAUACUUUAAUGAAUAUCUUAUCUUUGCUUCUAAUUUUGAUGGAGAUAGAUAUAGUAAGCCAUUGGAUAGAGUGACAAAUAAGUUUUUAGGUUUCGAGAAUAUUAAAUUAUCUUCGAGGGUGCCCUCAUUGGAGCUGGGCCAAUUCUCACUGGUUCUUACCCUUCUCGACAAAAGAUGUAAAGGUUCUAAGCAUACAUAACAUAUCUAGGUUCUAGUGACUGAGAUGCAUGAUUUGCAGGUACUGGAUGCCAAGUCGACCAUAUGCUUUUGGCUGUGUACUGCGAUUGAGGACAUCAUCUGAAUUCAAAACUGGCCAUUCUUAUGGUCACUUCUUUCCAGAUCCACAGUAUGAGAAUGUUCAACACAUUAUCUGUUGUGAUUCUUACGCCACAUAUGCUUAUGACUUGGAGUUUGAAGCUACCAAGGAAUUUGCAAAGUUCUCAUGGCAAAAAGA
This is a long non-coding RNA of Rosa chinensis, 713 nucleotides long. RefSeq lists it as uncharacterized. The record is from RefSeq and is a predicted model, not a curated record. NCBI's taxonomy places the organism in Eukaryota, Viridiplantae, Streptophyta, Magnoliopsida, Rosales, Rosaceae. The transcript is spliced from 3 exons.